UUUUUUUUUUUUUUUUUUUUUUUUUUUUUAGUAAAUCUAGUCACAUCCAUCCGGAGCAGCCGGGCUAUUUCUCUAGCCGGAAAUUCUCUUACUCACCUAAGCGUUAUUACCACCCAGCAUUCCGGAGUUCCUUAUUAUUUGUCGGAUUUCGAUUCGGCACACUGCACGUCUGCAGGCGCUGGUUUGUGCUCCUUCUUUGGGCACGGUGUAUAUACAACUCCGGGAGCAUUUCAACUGCUUUUCUUAAAGCUGAAUUCUUUAUAAAGGAGAAGUGACUAGAAACCCUGAGCUGGGUCCCAGGUCUUGCCUUAACUUUGUAAGGCACACUGACACACUGAGGCUGCUCCACUUAAGGUAUGGUAUGAACCAGGAGCUGAUCCCGUGGCUGUGGAAUGAGUGUUCACAUGGAGUCAUCCUGCUGUAGCUAUUGCAGCUGCUGUGUAAGCAAGUCCUAACGGACAGUCCUUGUUCCAGUGACUGUGUGACAGAUAAGACAGACAAUGGGCACAAGGAAGGCACCGCUAUCAAUGAAGGACGGAUACUGUUCAACCUGAAGGGAACAAAGAAACCUGGGCUGCUCAAGACCCCACAGAACUGUCCAGGAGUGUCCUUUGUGCCAGCUGAUUCCAGGAAUGUGACACUUUUCGAACUGUUUGUGUCAGGACUUCCUGCUUUGACACCUUUCAUUUCUGAGACUGCCUCAUCAGUCAAACCCCAGAUCUGCUGCUCCUCUCCACAAGGACUUCUGUAUGCAGCAACUCUCUGUCCUCUUUGGAUACUGAAAUGAGAUGAAAGGGCUUGAAUGUUUCUUAGCAAGAUGGAUGGAUGGAAUUAGCUUAAUCUGUUCUGAUUUUGACACCUACAAGUCAACUGACCCAAUCACCUCUUCUUCUAACAGGCUGCAAAGCAACACUCUACUAAUGUGGAAUAUUCUUUGUGAUGGAAACAGAAGCAUCAGGAAUGGGGGUUUGUAGCUUUUUUGGAAGAGUUUCUGUUACAAUUUUUAUCUUUAAUAUCAACACUUUAAAUAAGGAUAUUUAUAUGUUAAAAUAAAAACAUUUUUUGCCCUGAAAUACUGGAAUACGCCUCCCCAGCCUCUUCCUACCUCAGCUCUGCCACUGUGAAGAGAACCCAUCCAUGGAUUUUAAAGUCAGGACAAGUCAGAACUUCUAACAGAGGAUGAGCACAGAACAACUGCAGUUCAUCCUGCAGCCCAGACCCCAAUGAAUGGAUCUUUUUCUUAUGUGCUGUGGGAACUGCCUAUAGAAAUAUCUAAGAAACUGAUCCAGGGUUUUAUAACCUUGUGUCUUGUCCCUUGUGGCAAGCUGCAAGUUGCCUUCUUAUCCUGGCCUCCAUGGACAAAGCCCUCCAUGUGUGUGAAAUAGGAGAGCACCGUGGUUUGGUGGUGGUUUUGUCAGAUCUGUUCCCAAACAGCUCUCCCAGCUGCCACACUGCCUGUCAGAGGAGGGUUGGUGCAGCAGAGGUCUGUAGGGUCACUUGGGUUCACAUGCAGGAUCCCUUGUGCACAUCCUGCAGUGGGAUCCAGCCCUGCUGAUGCCUCUUUAACACUUGAGGACAUUGUCAGCAAACCAAAGUGCAUUUCUUAGUGCCCACACCAAGCCACUUCAAGAACAAAUCUGACUAGACUGAAUUAUUUUUAUUUUUAAAGUUCAGUGCCACUUAACACCGCCAAUUUAGCUUAAAAAAAAAAAAAAAAAGCAGAAAUACCUAAAAUAAAAGUGUUUUGAAAA
Molecule: long non-coding RNA, 1751 nt
Organism: Taeniopygia guttata (zebra finch)
Lineage: Eukaryota; Metazoa; Chordata; Aves; Passeriformes; Estrildidae
Source: Ensembl